UCUACAGGGGCUUUCCAGCUAAAGGUCAAGAAUAACCCAUGGAGUCCAAAAUGGUUGUGAUCUGAAUGCUGACUUCUUGUUGCUACCUCAUUUUCAAUCACUUUGCUUUAAGAAAUGCAAACUGACACCGUCAUUCCAUUUUAUGUAUAGACCAAGUUGAGUUAUCAAUAGCAAGAGAACCAGGAACUGGAAGCAGUGACCUUUGCAGUUCCCUUCCAAAUCAGGUUAUUCAUGGAUUCUAUGACUCAAGCAGGUUGUCUCUCAGUUUUGGUAGUGAAGGUAUCAGAUCAAUUCAUGAAAGCUGCCUUCUGUACAGGGAUACCUUCCUGCCUGUAGUGUGUUGGCAAGUGACACGGUGGCUACGCAGCAGAAUUCUAGAGGUAUUUAGGCAUUUAAUGAUGACAGUAGGCUUGUGAUGGGAUUUUGGUAUUACUUAGCUGUUUCUAAACAUUCAGCUUAACACCUGAUCUCUUCUUAUAUGUGCCUAACUCUAACUGCUUAGCUCACUUUGUUUUCUCUGUGUCUACCUAAAAAAAGGGGAUAAUCAAGUUUUCUGUCUUAACAUAAUGUUUUGGUUAUAACUUCUUCUAAGGCAGUUAAGUAAUCAACUAGUGGAGUAUUAAAGGCUCUAUAAAUAUUAUGAUAAAUUGAUGGAAGAAUUGCUGUCUAUUUUGAGGCAGAAAGCUGGCCAUGUUUUAAAUUAAUUUUCUGCUUUUGGAUUCUUCCUUCCUCCAGGGUUCAUUGCACUCCACAGCUUUUUAACAUGUGUCUACAUAACAGUCCAGACAUGCAAGUGCUGUGUCAAAGGCUGGCAUUUGACCUGUGUGAUAGCACACCAGAGAAGGGAUGGGACUGCAGCAUCUCCAGAAAAACAGAUCUGUCUUCACACUCACCAGAGACAAUUGCAGUUUGAACCAGAAUUCAUUCCACGGUGUAAUCUCUGUUCAGUGGUAGAGAAGAUGUCCUGCUGGGACAAAGCAAGGGCCAUUUGUCACAGCUUCCCUUCCACUGAGAGCCAGCCUGUUCAGCCAGCAAAGAUCAGCAAGGAUCUGUGAAGUCCUGCAAGUAGGAGAUUAAGUCAUCACUAUAAAGGUUUCAGAGUGACCCCCCUCAGCUACCUCUUUGGAAAUAUAACUGACACUGCAGCUGGUUAAGGACAUUUAAAUUGCUGUUUGUUAGUGGUGUUAGUUUUGCUAUUUACCAAAGGGGAGUCUUGCAACAUUGCAUUCCACAUUUAUUUUUGCUGAGCUAGUUAAAAAAAUUAAGAAGUUUCUGAAGGGAGCAGCUGCCUUAUCUCAUUUCCUAUCUGUUCUGAUCAUACCUCUGUUCUAUUAAAACUCUAUUAAAAAUCUUGUUGGCCUGUUCUUCUAAGCCCAUGAGACAUUAUUUCCCACAAUCCUCUCAAUAUGUUUUCCACCACUAACCCACAAUGAUCAGCAGUUCCCAGAAAUAUUAUGUGUACUCUUGAUUAAGACAUCACAUCCUCCUGUCUAUACCACUGUCACUUCUUUACAAUUACACUGCUAAACUGGCCAUAUCCACAUUGAGAUUAAGAGCUUAGCAGGAAUGGACAUUUCAUCUAGAAAAUAAGAAUGGUCAGAGUUACAAUCAAUAGUCUGUCCCACACUUGUCAGUACAGCAGACUAGGAUGUUCAGGGUAUACCAGUCCUCACAGGCAAGAAAAUGAUGUGACAAGGUAGAUUCGCUUCCCAGAUCUUAAUGACUGACUACCUGCUUCUGACUGGAUUUAUUAAAUGUAACUCUUUGUGUCAGCUUGGAGCAAAGCUUGAACUCUUCUACAUUGAAGGGCAGAAAAAUAUGUAACAAUUGCUUUCCUACUCUAACUUGAAUUUUUCUUAUGAGUUAUUAAGACCAUAAAUGCAAAUUUUGCUGGUAGUUUAAAUCUUAAUUUAACUGUUCAGAGUCUUGGACUACCACAAGCUAAGUAGAAAUGUGUCCUGAGGAAAACUGAUGUUUAUCUUUUGUCUGUAUCCUGGCUUCUUGGUGAAAAUAGUUGGCACUGGAUAUUGUCAGAGACAGAAUUUGCUGAACUUAUCUAUGUUUUUAUUUCAUAAUUGAAAGGAGAGUAGUUAAUCUGAAACACUGUAAUGGUCCAAAGCAAGAGGAAGAUUAUUAUAACCUUGCUCAUCUGGAUGUGUACCUGACUCAGUUUUCUGGUUACCACAGGAUCAAUCCUAGAGGUAUCUAGUAAUACUUCUGUUGCCUUUAGGUUUUGUUAAGGAAGAAUUUUCAUUUUAAAGAGGUUAUGACGAUAUAGACCCCCAUUAGGGAAAUAGGCUUUGAUGUGGAACAUUUUCCACUUCUUUAUUUUGACUGAAAGGUCAAUUUUCAGAAUAAAAGAAAGAAAAAAUUCCA
Molecule: long non-coding RNA, 2376 nt
Organism: Cyanistes caeruleus (blue tit)
Lineage: Eukaryota; Metazoa; Chordata; Aves; Passeriformes; Paridae
Source: Ensembl